Molecule: ribosomal RNA, 253 nt
Filed under: uncultured bacterium
Lineage: Bacteria
Description: partial 16S ribosomal RNA
Rfam family: Bacterial small subunit ribosomal RNA
Source: RNAcentral
UACGAAGGGGGCUAGCGUUGCUCGGAAUCACUGGGCGUAAAGCGCACGUAGGCGGAUCUUUAAGUCAGGGGUGAAAUCCUGGAGCUCAACUCCAGAACUGCCUUUGAUACUGGGGAUCUCGAGUCCGGGAGAGGUGAGUGGAACUCCGAGUGUAGAGGUGAAAUUCGUAGAUAUUCGGAAGAACACCAGUGGCGAAGGCGGCUCACUGGCCCGGUACUGACGCUGAGACGCGAAAGCGUGGGGAGCAAACAGG